Pieris napi is the source of this 490-nucleotide long non-coding RNA. RefSeq lists it as uncharacterized. The record is from RefSeq and is a predicted model, not a curated record. The transcript has 2 exons. Lineage: Eukaryota; Metazoa; Arthropoda; Insecta; Lepidoptera; Pieridae.
CAUAAACACAUAUUAUUUAAUAAAAAGACAGUACUAACAAUUUGCAAAAAAAGAGGACAUGGAGUGCGAUUCAUGCAGAAUUUAAUGCCCUUUCAGAACCCUCGAACUAUUAAACAGUUGUUAGCCAAAUUUGACAACAUGAAGCGGUAUGCUCGUAAAGAUGCAAGCAAACAAAGGCAAGAGCGUUUUAAAACAGGGGGUGGUCCACCUCCACCUCUAAAAUGCAUGAAAAGUGGUAUUUACCUUUACAAUAAAAAAUAAACUUACUAUAACUUGUUUAUGAUCAGAAUUACUUGAAAAAAUUGUAUAAAUGCUCUUCAAAAUAAUUAAACAGUUGUGUGUAUCAAUGUAAUAAAAUUAGUGUAAAAAAUAAUAAAAACUGUAAAAAAAUAGAUUUUUAAGAUGAAUUAAUUCUUAUGUGCAUAGGCAGGCAUAACUGUGUAAUGUUGUAUGUAAUUCGGUAAUAAAAAGGCAUAUUAUUUUUGUCAAA